RNAcentral lists this ribosomal RNA (430 nucleotides) under Pseudomonadota bacterium. RNAcentral describes it as "Proteobacteria bacterium partial 16S ribosomal RNA". It matches the Rfam family "Bacterial small subunit ribosomal RNA", at positions 355 to 776 of the family's 1533-position model. The record is from RNAcentral. Lineage: Bacteria; Pseudomonadati; Pseudomonadota.
UGGGGAAUAUUGGACAAUGGGGGGAACCCUGAUCCAGCCAUGCCGCGUGUGUGAAGAAGGCCUUAUGGUUGUAAAGCACUUUAAGCGAGGAGGAGGGUACUGGUAUUAAUACUACCAGGUACUGGACGUUACUCGCAGAAUAAGCACCGGCUAACUCUGUGCCAGCAGCCGCGGUAAUACAGAGGGUGCAAGCGUUAAUCGGAAUUACUGGGCGUAAAGCGCGCGUAGGUGGUUCGUUAAGUUGAAUGUGAAAGCCCCGGGCUCAACCUGGGAACUGCAUCCAAAACUGGCGAGCUAGAGUAGGGCAGAGGGUGGUGGAAUUUCCUGUGUAGCUGUGAAAUGCGUAGAUAUAGGAAGGAACACCAGUGGCGAAGGCGACCACCUGGGCUCAUACUGACACUGAGGUGCGAAAGCGUGGGGAGCAAACAGG